AAUCGACGACCGCAGCUGCUCCAUGAGCUCCCACACGAAUUGCUUGAUUCAUUGAAGAAGACGAUAGAAGCAGCUUUAAGCUCCAAGCUGAUAGCUCACAGCUAACAGUUACAAGCUCGAAAUUGGGUCUGUAGCUCAGUUGGUUAGAGCGCACCCCUGAUAAGGGUGAGGUCGGCAGUUCGAAUCUGCCCAGACCCACCAAUUUUGUAAUGGGGCCAUAGCUCAGCUGGGAGAGCGCCUGCCUUGCACGCAGGAGGUCAGCGGUUCGAUCCCGCUUGGCUCCACCAUAAACUGCUUCUGAAAGCUUAGAAAUGAGCAUUCCACCAACACGGUGAUGAAUGUUGAUUUCUAGUCUUUUGAUUAGAUCGUUCUUUAAAAAUUUGGGUAUGUGAUAGAAAGAUAGACUGGACGUUACUUUCACUGGUAACGGAUCAGGCUAAGGUAAAAUUUGUGAGUUCUCUUAGUUGAGAAAUUCGAA
Molecule: transfer RNA, 478 nt
Filed under: Pseudomonas brassicacearum
Lineage: Bacteria; Pseudomonadati; Pseudomonadota; Gammaproteobacteria; Pseudomonadales; Pseudomonadaceae
Description: partial 16S-23S ribosomal RNA intergenic spacer region
Rfam family: tRNA (bases 125-198)
Source: RNAcentral